This 510-nucleotide unclassified non-coding RNA is filed under the name uncultured Glomus. RNAcentral's name for it is "SSU rRNA". It matches the Rfam family "Eukaryotic small subunit ribosomal RNA", at positions 569 to 1082 of the family's 1831-position model. The record is from RNAcentral. Lineage: Eukaryota; Fungi; Glomeromycota; Glomeromycetes; Glomerales; Glomeraceae.
AGCAGCCGCGGUAAUUCCAGCUCCAAUAGCGUAUAUUAAAGUUGUUGCAGUUAAAAAGCUCGUAGUUGAAUUUCGGGAUCAAGUCGUCGGUCGUGCUCAGGUACGUACUGGCGUCAUUGAUUUCUCCCUUCUGACGAACCAUGAUGUCAUUAAUUUGGUGUCAUGGGAAAUCAGGACUGUUACUUUGAAAAAUUAGAGUGUUUAAAGCAGGCUCACGCUUGAAUACAUUAGCAUGGAAUAAUGAAAUAGGACGUUCGAUCCUAUUUUGUUGGUCUUUAGGAUCAACGUAAUGAUUAAUAGGGAUAGUUGGGGGCAUUAGUAUUCAAUUGUCAGAGGUGAAAUUCUUGGAUUUUAUUGAAGACUAACUACUGCGAAAGCAUUUGCCAAGGAUGUUUUCAUUAAUCAAGAACGAAAGUUAGGGGAUCGAAGACGAUCAGAUACCGUCGUAGUCUUAACCAUAAACUAUGCCGACUAGGGAUCGGAUGAUGUUAAUUUUUAAUGACUCAUUCC